Armigeres subalbatus is the source of this 598-nucleotide long non-coding RNA. RefSeq lists it as uncharacterized. The transcript is spliced from 3 exons. Lineage: Eukaryota; Metazoa; Arthropoda; Insecta; Diptera; Culicidae. The record is from RefSeq and is a predicted model, not a curated record.
UAGGCGAACGCAUUCGAUAAGAGCAGCGAACGCGCUCCACUUUGUUGUGUUAUUGCUUUCGCAUAACAGCAACACAUAGCAGCAAGCGAUACGAUGUAUGCGGGAGAGACGAGCAAAUUGAAUGUUUAUUGUGCACUGCCGAGGCAGAAGAUGGUGUUUCGUCCAUCGUUAUUUGUUCGUGAUCGAAAGUUGUAAUAUUGUAAUUUGAUAAUUGUUUGAUUUGUAAUAUUAUAUUAAUUGUUUAUUUGUGUUAAAGAUUUCCUGUUUGCCGUUAAUCGUCCGUCUCCCGCACAGUAGGUGUGUUUGUUCCACUACUGUUGCUAACUGUGAGUUUAAGUUUGAAUCGUAUCAGUAUGAACGUUUGUGAUAAUUUGUUCAAUGUAAUUAGCUAAUUAGAUCGCCGCGAGUCCGGAGGUAGAUGUUUGUCUGUUUGUAGCCGGAAGGAAAACUAGAUUAUUUCCUGUUUGCCGUUAAUCGUCCGUCUCCCGCACAGUAGGUGUGUUUGUUCCACUACUGUUGCUAACUCUAAUUAGAUCGCCGCGAGUCCGGAGGUAGAUGUUUGUCUGUUUGUAGCCGGAAGGAAAACUAGAUUGUAAGU